GUAAGAAAAUUCCAUCCAACGGCUCAAGCACACGUCCAUUCAUCCAUUAUUCAUUUCCGUUCAUACAUCAUACAUUCAUAUAAUCUAACUUAUACUAUGGCCAUCCACACUAUUCCAUUAUAAAAAUAGGUGACUGUGCCUGGCUACACUUCUAAUGUAAGGACAUUUUGAAAUUGGAACUGUGCAUAGUGAGCUCGAUACUUAAAAAUCUGUACUGGCUGGUCAUAAUGAGCAUGAGGACUUGAGCUACUCCACACGCAGUACGGAUUUUAAUGACCAUCAAAGAAGAUUUAUUGGGGCGGAGGCAAACAGCCCUCAUACUGGCUGACAGGUAUCUGAUAUAAAAAGGAGUAACUUAGGCUCCUUUUUAUCUCCAUCUCGUAUCCCGAUCCCGAAGUUAAGCGUUAUCACGCUCGAGUGGGAGACGGGAGGCAUGCGGCG
Long non-coding RNA from Danaus plexippus (monarch butterfly), 441 nucleotides. RefSeq lists it as uncharacterized. The record is from RefSeq and is a predicted model, not a curated record. The transcript is spliced from 3 exons. NCBI's taxonomy places the organism in Eukaryota, Metazoa, Arthropoda, Insecta, Lepidoptera, Nymphalidae.